Molecule: ribosomal RNA, 468 nt
Filed under: uncultured bacterium
Lineage: Bacteria
Description: partial 16S ribosomal RNA
Rfam family: Bacterial small subunit ribosomal RNA
Source: RNAcentral
GACGAACGCUGGCGGCGUGCUUAACACAUGCAAGUCGAACGGAAAGGCCCUGCUUUUGUGGGGUGCUCGAGUGGCGAACGGGUGAGUAACACGUGAGUAACCUGCCCUUGACUUUGGGAUAACUUCAGGAAACUGGGGCUAAUACCGGAUAGGAGCUCCUGCUGCAUGGUGGGGGUUGGAAAGUUUCGGCGGUUGGGGAUGGACUCGCGGCUUAUCAGCUUGUUGGUGGGGUAGUGGCUUACCAAGGCUUUGACGGGUAGCCGGCCUGAGAGGGUGACCGGCCACAUUGGGACUGAGAUACGGCCCAGAGUCCUACGGGAGGCAGCAGUGGGGAAUAUUGCACAAUGGGAGGAAGCCUGAUGCAGCAACGCCGCGUGCGGGAUGACGGCCUUCGGGUUGUAAACCGCUUUAGCCUGUGACGAAGCGUGAGUGACGGUAAUGGGUAAAGAAGCACCGGCUAACUACGUG